GCGGGGGGCUGGACGGCCGCGGGGAGCGAUCUCCGAGGAAAGUCCGGACUCCAUGGAGAGACGGUGCCGGGUAACGCCCGGGCGAGGCAACUCGACGGAAAGCGCCACAGAGAACAGACCGCUCCGGGUCGGGCCUCGGCCCGCACUUCGGUGCCCCGGAGCAAGGGUGAAACGGUGGGGUAAGAGCCCACCGGGGGGGCGGCAACGUCCCCCGCACGGCAAGCCCCACCGGGAGCAAUGCCGAAUAGGGAUCGCGCGUGCGCAAGCGCAGGGGGUCUCCGCCCCAGCGGUCCGGGUUGGCAGCUCGAGGACGCGAAGCGAUUCGCGGCCCAGACGAAUGGUCGUCAUGGCGGGUCCGCCCGCCAUACAGAAUCCGGCUUACAGGCCCCCCGCACUC
Molecule: RNase P RNA, 397 nt
Filed under: Jannaschia seohaensis
Lineage: Bacteria; Pseudomonadati; Pseudomonadota; Alphaproteobacteria; Rhodobacterales; Roseobacteraceae
Description: Bacterial RNase P class A
Rfam family: Bacterial RNase P class A
About the family: Ribonuclease P (RNase P) is a ubiquitous endoribonuclease, found in archaea, bacteria and eukarya as well as chloroplasts and mitochondria. Its best characterised activity is the generation of mature 5'-ends of tRNAs by cleaving the 5'-leader elements of precursor-tRNAs. Cellular RNase Ps are ribonucleoproteins.
Source: Rfam by way of RNAcentral